UGCCUCAGUAACGGCGAGUGAAGCGGCAACAGCUCAAAUUUGAAAUCUGGCGGCCUCUGGGCCGUCCGAGUUGUAAUUUGAAGAGGAUGCUUUUGGCGAGGCGCCUUCCGAGUGCCCUGGAACGGGACGCCACAGAGGGUGAGAGCCCCGUAUGGUUGGACGCCGAGCCUCUGUAAAGCUCCUUCGACGAGUCGAGUAGUUUGGGAAUGCUGCUCAAAAUGGGAGGUAAACCCCUUCUAAAGCUAAAUACUGGCCAGAGACCGAUAGCGCACAAGUAGAGUGAUCGAAAGAUGAAAAGCACUUUGAAAAGAGAGUUAAACAGCACGUGAAAUUGUUGAAAGGGAAGCGCUUGCGACCAGACUUGUGCCCGUCGAAUCAGCCGCCGCUCGUCGGCGGCGCACUUCGGCGGGCUCAGGCCAGCAUCAGUUCGCUGCAGGGGGAGAAAGGCGAUGGGAAUGUGGCUCUUCGGAGUGUUAUAGCCCGCCGCGCAAUACCCCUCGGCGGACUGAGGACCGCGCAUCUGCAAGGAUGCUGGCGUAAUGGUCGUCAGCGACCCGUCUUGAAACACGGACCAAGGAGUCGUCCUAAUAUGCGAGUGUUCGGGUGUAAAACCCCUGCGCGUAAUGAAAGUGAACGGAGGUGAGAGCUUCGGCGCAUCAUCGACCGAUCCUGAUGUUCUCGGAUGGAUUUGAGUAAGAGCAUAUUGGGCCGGACCCGAAAGAAGGUGAACUAUGCCUGUAUAGGGUAAAGCCAGAGGAAACUCUGGUGGAGGCUCGCAGCGGUUCUGACGUGCAAAUCGAUCGUCAAAUAUGGGCAUGGGGGCGAAAGACUAAUCGAACCUUCUAGUAGCUGGUUUCCGCCGAAGUUUCCCUCAGGAUAGCAGUGUUGAAUUUCUCAGUUUUAUGAGGUAAAGCGAAUGAUUAGGGACUCGGGGGCGCUAUUAAGCCUUCAUCCAUUCUCAAACUUUAAAUAUGUAAGAAGCUCUUGUUACUUAACUGAACGUGGGCAUUCGAAUGUAUCAACACUAGUGGGCCAUUUUUGGUAAGCAGAACUGGCGAUGCGGGAUGAACCGAUCGCGGGGAUAAGGUGCCGGAGUGGACGCUCAUCAGACACCACAAAAGGUGUUAUCACAUCUUGACAGCAGGACGGUGGCCAUGGAAGUCGGAAUCCGCUAAGGACUGUGUAACAACUCACCUGCCGAAUGUGAUAGCCCUGAAAAUGGAUGGCGCUCAAGCGUCCCACCCAUACCCCGCCCUCAGGGUAGACACUAUGCCCUGAGGAGUAGGCGGACGUGGAG
This 1297-nucleotide ribosomal RNA is filed under the name Petriella setifera. RNAcentral describes it as "eukaryotic LSU rRNA". It matches the Rfam family "Eukaryotic large subunit ribosomal RNA", at positions 76 to 1396 of the family's 3401-position model. The record is from RNAcentral. Lineage: Eukaryota; Fungi; Ascomycota; Sordariomycetes; Microascales; Microascaceae.